CCUACGGGUGGCAGCAGUAGGGAAUAUUGCUCAAUGGGGGAAACCCUGAAGCAGCAACGCCGCGUGGAGGAUGAAGGUUUUCGGAUUGUAAACUCCUUUUGUUAGAGAAGAUGAUGACGGUAUCUAUCGAAUAAGCACCGGCUAACUCCGUGCCAGCAGCCGCGGUAAUACGGGGGGUGCACGCGUUACUCGGAAUCACUGGGCGUAAAGGGCGCGUAGGCGGGAUAGCAAGUCAGAUGUGAAAUCCUAUGGCUUAACAAUAGAACUGAAUUUGAAACUGUUAGUCUAGAGUAUGGGAGAGGUAGGUGGAAUUCUUGGUGUAGGGGUGAAAUGCGUAGAGAUCAAGAGGAAUACUCAUGGCGAAGGCGACCUGCUAGAACAUAACUGACGCUGAUGCGCGAAAGCGUGGGGAGCAAACAGGAUUAGAUACCCUAGUAGUC
This 440-nucleotide ribosomal RNA is filed under the name uncultured bacterium. RNAcentral's name for it is "partial 16S ribosomal RNA". It matches the Rfam family "Bacterial small subunit ribosomal RNA", at positions 338 to 795 of the family's 1533-position model. The record is from RNAcentral.